GUCGCCAUAGCUCAAAGGUAGAGCAGAAUACUGUUAAUAUUUUGAUAGAUGUUCGAAUCAUCUUGGGGACU
Molecule: transfer RNA, 71 nt
Rfam family: tRNA
About the family: Transfer RNA (tRNA) molecules are approximately 80 nucleotides in length. Their secondary structure includes four short double-helical elements and three loops (D, anti-codon, and T loops).